This 382-nucleotide ribosomal RNA is filed under the name uncultured eukaryote. RNAcentral describes it as "partial 18S ribosomal RNA". It matches the Rfam family "Eukaryotic small subunit ribosomal RNA", at positions 592 to 976 of the family's 1831-position model. The record is from RNAcentral.
UGUAAGCGUAUACCAAAGUUGUUGCAGUUAAAACGCUCGUAGUCGGAAUUUGGCAGUUCCGGAUGUGUGCACGUCGUGUGCGCACUUCGCGGGGAUUGCUUUUGUGGUCUUGCGUAGGAUGAGGCACUUUUAUCAGUGAACGUCCUCACGCAACCACUUUUUACUGUGAGAAAAUCAGAGUGCUCAAAGCAGGCAUUUGCCGUGAAUGUAUUAGCAUGGAAUAAUAGAAUAGGACUUGGUUCUAUUUUGUUGGUUUGUUGGGACUGAGUAAUGAUUAAGAGGGACAGUUGGGGGCAUUUGUAUUUCGGUGCUAGAGGUGGAAUUCUUAGAUUACCGAAAGACAAACUGCUGCGAAAGCGUCUGCCAAGGAUGUUUUCAUUGA